CCUACGGGUGGCAGCAGUGAGGAAUAUUGGUCAAUGGGCGCGAGCCUGAACCAGCCAAGUAGCGUGAAGGAUGACUGCCCUACGGGUUGUAAACUUCUUUUAUAAAGGAAUAAAGUGAGGCACGUGUGCCUUUUUGUAUGUACUUUAUGAAUAAGGAUCGGCUAACUCCGUGCCAGCAGCCGCGGUAAUACGGAGGAUCCGAGCUUUAUCCGGAUUUAUUGGGUUUAAAGGGAGCGUAGAUGGGUUGUUAAGUCAGUUGUGAAAGUUUGCGGCUCAACCGUAAAAUUGCAAUUGAUACUGGCAGUCUUGAGUACAGUUGAGGUAGGCGGAAUUCGUGGUGUAGCGGUGGAAUGCGUAGAUAUAUGGAAGAACACCAGUGGCGAAGGCGGCUGUCUGGUCUGCAACUGACGCUGAGGCUCGAAAGCAUGGGUAGCGAACAGGAUUAGAUACCCCAGUAGUC
This 460-nucleotide ribosomal RNA is filed under the name uncultured bacterium. Its description in RNAcentral is "partial 16S ribosomal RNA". It matches the Rfam family "Bacterial small subunit ribosomal RNA", at positions 338 to 795 of the family's 1533-position model. The record is from RNAcentral.